This 486-nucleotide long non-coding RNA is filed under the name Mus musculus (house mouse). RNAcentral's name for it is "predicted gene 5600 (ENSMUSG00000073862.6)". Lineage: Eukaryota; Metazoa; Chordata; Mammalia; Rodentia; Muridae. The record is from RNAcentral.
AUGGAAAUUAUAAUGAAGAGAAAGACAGGUGAUGCUUUUGGGAUGAGGUCAGUCUUUCUCCAACCUCCACUUGCUAUUCAUAACCCCCUUGUCACUUCAAUCAAAUUUCCUGGCCAUUCCACAUCCUGGUGUCUUUAUUGUGAAUGGAGGAGCAUGGCCGUGUUCCUUAAACUGUGGGCUGCUUUGCCAACAUUAAGAGAUGUAGCAUGCAGAAAGAAUGCUAGACCUCACCUGAGUCUGUCUCCUUCCCUCUGCCCUAGUGGAAGCCUAUUAUGGGUGGGUCAGAACAUGGACAGCUUGACCCACAACACCACAAUAUGCACUGCUUGGUUCUCUCCUUUCCAAAUAAAUUGUUUCAUUAAUUUUCUGGCAAAGAAAGAGAAGAAGAGCUGGCCGCUUGCCAGGGUUAAUGGGAUCCUUUUGUCAGACUUUGUGGCCUGCAAUGAACCAAGCUUUUACCCAGUGUUAAUCUGCAGGGCACCAUAA